RNAcentral lists this unclassified non-coding RNA (1361 nucleotides) under Hevea brasiliensis (rubber tree). The record is from RNAcentral. Lineage: Eukaryota; Viridiplantae; Streptophyta; Magnoliopsida; Malpighiales; Euphorbiaceae.
GAAUUGUCUCUCCAUCUUAUUUCUGUGCUGCCACUUGCUAGACAAAAGUAUAGUUGGACAUCUUUCAUGUGCAAUACAGAAUAGGUAAGCAAUUAAAUAUCAAAAAUAUACACGAUUGUAUGUUCAAAACAUUACAAUGCCCAUAACAAGGAAAAAUGGAACUGGACGGAGAAGGCCUUAACUCGAAAAAGAAGGAAAGAAAACAUACAUGACACUACCUCAGACUACAAGUCCCAUUACGGUAGCCGCACUUCUUGAAACGAAAAUACCAAUACUAUGACUGCAUCACCUUAUUUUGUUCAACACAUGUGGGUGCCUUGAAUGUUUGACACUUCCACAUUGGCCUCUCAAGCGGAAAAAUGGGAUUAUUACUUGUAGUACCUUUGUUGAUGUUCUCAUCGAAUGAUGAUGAACUCUUGGAUUUCAAAUCCUCUUUAGGGCUUGCUUGAUCCCUGAAGCUGCAAAUGCUGAGUGGUAACUUUUUCUGCUUAAGCCUUCCUUUCUUUUUCUCAAUGCUGCAACUAUCAUUUACAGAAUCCCCAACUUUCUCCUUUGAGAUAAUUGAUUCUCUUUCCUUGUUUUCCAUAUUUACAUUGUCAGCUUUACUAGAGUGUGAUGCUUCCCCAUUUUCCAUUUUUGUGAGGUCAGAUUUAUUAAAUUUUGUGUUUAAAUCUACUCUAACAAGGUCUUUAUCCGAGAUAUGCCUAUCUGACUCUCUUUCUCUAGUAAAACCAUUCCCAUUGCUCGUGGAAGGACAGUUUCCUUCCACGGAUGUACUUCCAGUCUGAAGCUUAGAUUUUUCAGAAGGAGAAGACCUCUUCAGCCUCUUAUGUUUUUGAUUUCUUGAGUCAGAUGUUGAGUUCUUCAAAAUUCUUGGAGAGCUAUUAAUGGCCCUAUGCAACGUCCGAGCUAACUCUUCAUCUGUUCUACAAUCAUCAGUCCCCUUAUUCUUAUUAUACAGCGUCUGAACAGGAACAUGUUUUUUCAUCUUAUUCCUCUUCAAAUGUUUGUCCCUACUGGUUCCCUCAUCAGAGAGAGUGGCAACCAAUUCUAGAGCGCUCUUAGCAGCAGCCACAGCCUUUGCUGCUUUCGCAGCCUUCUCUUCUGCAAUGGCUCUUGCAGCUUUUGCAGCCUUCACAGCUUCUAGAGCUGCCAAUCUUGAGGCCUCAGCAAUCUCCUCAUUAGAUCGAUUAGAGUCUCCAAAAUGAGACUUCAAUAGAUUAUUAAGACGGAUAUCAAAAUCACACGGGGGACUAUUAACAGUUGGUGGGGAUGGGGUAGAUGAGUAAACAUCAGAAUUCUGCUUCUUCAAUCCAGCAAGAAGCCGCUUACGUGGAGGCAAAAGCACAUCGGCAUCCAAG